RNAcentral lists this ribosomal RNA (520 nucleotides) under uncultured Actinomyces sp. RNAcentral describes it as "bacterial SSU rRNA". It matches the Rfam family "Bacterial small subunit ribosomal RNA", at positions 1 to 507 of the family's 1533-position model. Lineage: Bacteria; Bacillati; Actinomycetota; Actinomycetes; Actinomycetales; Actinomycetaceae. The record is from RNAcentral.
CGUAGUCUACAGUAGUAGUUUCGUACGUCGUGCUAGACGACGACGCUGGCGGCGUGCUUAACACAUGCAAGUGAACGCUGAAGCUCAGCUUUUUGUUGGGUGGAUGAGUGGCGAACGGGUGAGUAACACGUGAGUAACCUGCCCUCUUCUUUGGGAUAACGCCCGGAAACGGGUGCUAAUACUGGAUAUUCACUGAUCUUCGCAUGGGGGUUGGUGGAAAGGUUUGUUCUGGUGGGGGAUGGGCUCGCGGCCUAUCAGCUUGUUGGUGGGGUGAUGGCCUACCAAGGCUUUGACGGGUAGCCGGCCUGAGAGGGUGACCGGUCACAUUGGGACUGGGAUACGGCCCAGACUCCUACGGGAGGCAGCAGUGGGGAAUAUUGCACAAUGGGCGAAAGCCUGAUGCAGCGACGCCGCGUGAGGGAUGGAGGCCUUCGGGUUGUAAACCUCUUUCGCUCAUGGUCAAGCCGCGACGUGGGUUGUGGUGAGGGUAGUGGGUAAAGAAGCGCCGGCUAACUACGUG